CCGUUCAACUCGCCGUCCUGCGCGACGGCUACGGGAG
RNAcentral lists this non-coding RNA (37 nucleotides) under unclassified sequences. RNAcentral describes it as "THF-II sequence". It matches the Rfam family "THF-II riboswitch (folE RNA)". The record is from RNAcentral.